AUUGAACGCUGGCGGCAGGCCUAACACAUGCAAGUCGAAUGGUAACAGGAAACAGCUUGCUGUUUCGCUGACGAGUGGCGGACGGGUGAGUAAUGUCUGGGAAACUGCCUGAUGGAGGGGGAUAACUACUGGAAACGGUAGCUAAUACCGCAUAACGUCGCAAGACCAAAGAGGGGGACCUUCGGGCCUCUUGCCAUCGGAUGUGCCCAGACGGGAUUAGCUAGUAGGUGGGGUAACGGCUCACCUAGGCGACGAUCCCUAGCUGGUCUGAGAGGAUGACCAGCCACACUGGAACUGAGACACGGUCCAGACUCCUACGGGAGGCAGCAGUGGGGAAUAUUGCACAAUGGGCGCAAGCCUGAUGCAGCCAUGCCGCGUGUAUGAAGAAGGCCUUCGGGUUGUAAAGUACUUUCAGCGGGGAGGAAGGGAGUAAAGUUAAUACCUUUGCUCAUUGACGUUACCCGCAGAAGAAGCACCGGCUAACUCCGUG
Molecule: ribosomal RNA, 490 nt
Filed under: uncultured bacterium
Lineage: Bacteria
Description: partial 16S ribosomal RNA
Rfam family: Bacterial small subunit ribosomal RNA
Source: RNAcentral